Molecule: non-coding RNA, 75 nt
Organism: Myotis brandtii (Brandt's bat)
Lineage: Eukaryota; Metazoa; Chordata; Mammalia; Chiroptera; Vespertilionidae
Source: Rfam
GGCGGUUCUCCGGUGAAGCACGCCAGAAUCGGGCUCCCUCCUCUCUGGUUCCCGGUAUGUCACCCAAGAACAGCA